RNAcentral lists this ribosomal RNA (494 nucleotides) under uncultured bacterium. RNAcentral's name for it is "partial 16S ribosomal RNA". It matches the Rfam family "Bacterial small subunit ribosomal RNA", at positions 28 to 507 of the family's 1533-position model. The record is from RNAcentral.
GACGAACGCUGGCGGCGUGCUUAACACAUGCAAGUCGAACGGUGAAGCGCCUUCCUUUUUGGUGGGUGUGGAUGAGUGGCGAACGGGUGAGUAACACGUGAGUAACCUGCCCCCUUCUUCUGGAUAACCGCAUGAAAGUGUGGCUAAUACGGGAUAUUCUGGGUCUGUCGCAUGAUGGGUCUGGGAAAGAUAUUGUUUCGGUGGGGGAUGGGCUCGCGGCCUAUCAGCUUGUUGGUGGGGUGAUGGCCUACCAAGGCGGUGACGGGUAGCCGGCCUGAGAGGGUGGACGGUUACACUGGGACUGAGACACGGCCCAGACUCCUACGGGAGGCAGCAGUGGGGAAUAUUGCACAAUGGGCGCAAGCCUGAUGCAGCGACGCCGCGUGAGGGAUGGAGGCCUUCGGGUUGUGAACCUCUUUCGCCAGUGAAGCAGGCCCGCCUCGUGUGUGGGUGGGUUGACGGUAGCUGGAUAAGAAGCGCCGGCUAACUACGUG